UACAGAGGGGGCAAGCGUUAUUCGGAAUUAUUGGGCGUAAAGCGUGCGCAGGCGGUUCGUUAAGUCUGAUGUGAAAGCCCCGGGCUCAACCUGGGAAUGGCAUUGGAAACUAGCGGGCUCGAGUGUGGCAGAGGAGACUGGAAUUCCUGGUGUAGCAGUGAAAUGCGUAGAUAUCAGGAGGAACACCGAUGGCGAAGGCAGGUCUCUGGGCUGACACUGACGCUCAUGCACGAAAGCGUGGGGAGCAAACAGG
This 253-nucleotide ribosomal RNA is filed under the name uncultured bacterium. Its description in RNAcentral is "partial 16S ribosomal RNA". It matches the Rfam family "Bacterial small subunit ribosomal RNA", at positions 524 to 776 of the family's 1533-position model. The record is from RNAcentral.